UAUUUGGGUACAAUGUCACACAUAUCCUCAAUUCUAACCUAACCACACUUUCUCUUAUCUAACUAUAGUUAACCCACCACAUCAUGUGUUUCAGUGUUGAACAAUUAAAAAAGAAAAGAAAAUAUGUUCUCUCACCAAGCUCACUUCCGAAAAUAGAUAUGUGUAUCUCAAUUCACAAAUCUUAACUUUUCUUCAAUCAGUUCUUCUCCAUUUCCUCUCCCUGUUCGACAAUAGAUUUGUCUCACCCAGCUCGACGCUUGACUUCUAUUCGUCACAUGUCUUUUCUCACACUCACACCUUACACGAACCAUAAGGAAACCGAAGAACAGGAAGAAAGUACAUCUUAACGGACAACCGUCUACUACAGCGACUUUUCACGACGGACAGAUUUCCCAUCAAGCGUCUCAUCCGUCAGUCCUGUUUGUCGCAUUCAUAUCUUUUGUGUCCGAAUUUGUCGCAUCCACAUAUUUUGUGUCCACGCUUCUUCAAUCCACAUAUUCUAUUUUCUAAAGAAAACUCAGAAUAGUGGUUUAACUCUAGUCACCUACAUUUUUGUAUGAUUGUGAACUUUGUGAAAAAGUUGUAAAAACAAUUUUGAUUGUGUGUUCA
Raphanus sativus (radish) is the source of this 609-nucleotide long non-coding RNA. RefSeq lists it as uncharacterized. The transcript has 2 exons. The record is from RefSeq and is a predicted model, not a curated record. NCBI's taxonomy places the organism in Eukaryota, Viridiplantae, Streptophyta, Magnoliopsida, Brassicales, Brassicaceae.